RNAcentral lists this transfer RNA (68 nucleotides) under Physiculus japonicus (Japanese codling). RNAcentral describes it as "tRNA-Ser". The record is from RNAcentral. Lineage: Eukaryota; Metazoa; Chordata; Actinopteri; Gadiformes; Moridae.
AAGAGAGGCCGGACGGCAAUAAAAACUGCUAAUUAUUAUACCUUAGGUUUGACUCCUAAGCUCACUUA